GACGAACGCUGGCGGCGUGCUUAACACAUGCAAGUCGAGCGGAAAGGCCCGGCGUUUGUGGGUUGCUCGAGUGCCGAACGGGUGAGUAACACGUGAGUAACCUGCCCUUGACUUUCGGAUAACUUCAGGAAACUCGGGCUAAUACCCCAUAGGAGCUCCUGCUGCAUGGUGGGGUUUGGAAAGUUUCGGCGGUUGGGGAUGGACUCGCGGCUUAUCAGCUUGUUGGUGGGGUAGUGGCUUACCAAGGCUUUGACGGGUAGCCGGCCUGAGAGGGUGACCGGCCACAUUGGGACUGAGAUACGGACCAGACUCCUACGGGAGGCAGCAGUGGGGAAUCUUGCACAAUGGGCGGAAGUCUGCUGCAGCAACGUCGGGUGCGGGAUGACGGCCUUCGGGUUGUAAACCGCUUUCGCCUGUGACGAAGCGUGAGUGACGGUAAUGGGUAAAGAAGCAACGGCUAACUACGUG
This 468-nucleotide ribosomal RNA is filed under the name uncultured bacterium. Its description in RNAcentral is "partial 16S ribosomal RNA". It matches the Rfam family "Bacterial small subunit ribosomal RNA", at positions 28 to 507 of the family's 1533-position model. The record is from RNAcentral.